Cyprinodon tularosa is the source of this 952-nucleotide long non-coding RNA. RefSeq lists it as uncharacterized. The record is from RefSeq and is a predicted model, not a curated record. The transcript is spliced from 3 exons. NCBI's taxonomy places the organism in Eukaryota, Metazoa, Chordata, Actinopteri, Cyprinodontiformes, Cyprinodontidae.
UACCAGGCCUUUCAGAAGGCAAGUCAUUCAGCCUUAAUCAGGUGAAGUGAGCACAAAGGCAGAAACCAGGCCAGGAGAUGUGGCAAGUAGUCUUUUUGAGUUUUUGUAUCAUGUUUAUUUUUCCUGAAGAAACCUGGAAUAAACUAACUGAACUGCAUUUUUCACGUAUUUUGAGAAUUUUUUGUACUGCGUAAAACCAGAAACCCACUAUUCCUCAAGUGACUAUUUGAUUUACAUUUAUUUUUUGCUUUUUCAUUUUUAAGUUUUUUCAUAGACAACUAGUCACUACAUCAAGUAAAAAACCCGCCCUUGGACCUUUGUUUUCAACGAUCUCAAAUCUGCUGAUGAGUGGAUAGUGAAGCCAUGGAUUCAACUUCUUUGUUCUUGGAUGGUGUCACCUGGAGGAAGUGCCGCGCCCACAAGCCAUGAGGUGGGACACAUAAGCAAAGAAUGCAGAGGUCGCUUGGUCUGUACUGUCUGUCACCAACAACAUCCCAGUGUCCUGCACAUUGACAAGGAAAGUACAAAAGCUUUCUCCAGAUGUCCACAGAUUCCUCUGAGAACCACGUCCACCAUGACUCAAACCUGUAGUCAUAUUAAGGUCUGUGAUGAAGAUAAUUCAAUUCUCUCUAUUGUUGCAGUUCAAGUUAGGAGUCCAACAACCAACUCAACCGUGCAGACAUAUGCAUUUCUGGACCCGGGCAGCACAGCGACAUUCUGCACAGAGAGUCUAGCCAGAAAGCUGCAACUGAAAGGCAAAAGAACAAGCAUUCAGCUGCAAACGAUGGGUCAUAAAGACAUUAUGUCAUGACACAAAAACUAAUGCCUGUUUCAAAGCGAAAUGUUCCACAACAGGAGGACAUUAACCAGUGGCCAUACCUGCAAAGUAUCAAGCUCCACAACAUAGAUGCUGAUGUAGAUUUGCUCAUUGGCACAAACGCACCUAAAGUAA